CAGUUUGCGAGGGAGGGAUGGGCUGCUUUUCAGUCCAUCCUUGUGCCCUGAGGAGCCAGAGCAUUAGGGGAUCACUGGGGACCUCCCUCAAAGGCUUCUGAGCUGCAUCAAGGACGCCAGGGUCACAGAACAAUGCCAUUUGGCAGAUGGCAGAAGCUGCCUCAGGGAAGGAGAAAGGCUGGCUCUGCUGCCAAGCCAGAGAUAGAAAACAUUUUCUCUGAGUUAGAAAAAGGAAUGUCCCUUCCUGUUUGGAAACAGCAGAUGGACCCAGUAUUCUAGUACUUGCAGAUCGUUUUGUAGGUCAUAUGCUCUUUGGAGCACAGAGGGAACGCUGCCGACCCAUGCCUCCAAAAAAAAGCAGUUGAACUUAUACAGUACGCUGCAUAGCUUCUAUGGUUUCUUAGACCUUUUGGAAACCAUUUAUGGAUUCCUAAUGGGUCCAUAAACCGUAAGCUAAGAGUCCCUCCUGUCGUGGUUUUUUAAAAUGGCUGCAAGUUCUUGGCUACCCCUCCCAUCUAGAGGUAGUGUCUUUGCCCACCCACCUUUGAGUCUGGGAAAGAUCUGACUGCUUCUGCUAAUCAAGUAUGGCUUCCAAAGCCUGUUCAUAAAAGGCCAGGCAGCUUCCUCUGGUUCACCAAAGAUGCUCAGUUUGGGGGUGCUCCCUCUUGGAACCCAGCUCUAGGCCAUGUGGUCAGGACACAUGCAGGUGGUGUGGUGGUGAGUCCCAGUUGAGCUUGGCUAUUAUGAGUUGAAUUUAACAUCCCUCUGAGGAUAUCGAAGACUUAACCACAAGUACGGGUGAAUAUGACUUUAUUUCAGAGUAAGAUCUGUGUGGAUGAUCCAGUUAAGAUGAGGUCAGUAAGGUAGGGCCUAAUUCAGUAUGCCCUGUGUUCAUAUAAAGAGUGGGACUUUGAACACAGAGAUAGCCAGGUGUGUGGGAGAAUACCAUGUGGAUAUGAAAGCAGACAUCAGUGUGAAGCACCUGCAGUCCAGGGAAUGCCACAGAUGGCCAGGAAGCCACCAGAAAUGAGGAGAGAGGCAUGAAACAGAUCCUGCCUCACAGCCUCAGAAGGAACCAGACCUGCCAAUACCUUGUUCUUGGAUUUCCAGCUGCCAGGGCCUUAGGACAAAAGUUUCUAUUGUCUAAGCCACCCUAUUUGUAGAACUUGUAAAUGGCAGCCUCAGAAAACUAGGAUAGCAUCCUUGGUGUCAUUCAUCCCCCGGCUCCAGGUGGGAAGUAAAGAAGCCAUCUCAGAAGUGGGAUCCUCCAUCCCCCAGACAUUCAAGUCACCUGCAGCCAUCUGGUUUCUCCAGCUGAGGCCAGAGACAUUUGACAGCAGAGACAUGCCAUUGCUACUGUGUCCUGAUUGAGUUUAUGAUUCACACAAUCUGCGAACAUAAUAAAAUGCUUGUUGUCUUCGUGCUCUUAGUAUGGGGUUGUUUGUAAUGAAGCAGUGAUUAACUGGAACGUUGCCUAAAACUCUUCUGACCUCAUACCGCUCUAAAUUAUGUCCUCUUCCUUCUUUGUCUGCAAAGACAGCCUGCUUGACGAACUAAUUUGAGCUAAAUGUCCAUGGUAAUGGCAUCAUAGAACCCGAGAAUUGGAAAGAAGCUUGAUACUCACAUUUAGGAAAAAACAAAUUACAGUCUCAACUUCAUACAAAUCAAACAGCCUUCAUUUUCCCUUUCAAUCCUUGUGCAUACAUAAUUUGUGGAUAGUUUAUUCAAGAUUCAUUCAACAUAGUUAUAAUCAGGGCAGACAUAAUUUUUGAGUCUGCUUUAUUCAACUUGCCAUCUAUCAUAGCAUUUUCCAUGUUGCUACAUAGUUUUAAUUAUUUUAAUUGGCUGCAAAGAAUUCCGUAAGUGACUGUACUAUGAUUUACUCAAUCAUUGUCCUUUUGACCAAUGUGAAAACUUUGUUGUGAAUCUUCUUUAAUUGCAGUAUUUUAAUUGUUGGUUGGCCUGAGAGCCACAUCCACCCACCCCAUUUUUGUACUGCCUGCAGCCUCAUGAUAGCCUUUAAAGGUUUAAAUGGCUGGAAAAAAAGAUAGUAUUUCAUGAUACUUGAAAAUUACAUGAAGUUCAGAAUUCAAUGUCCGUAAAUAAAACUCCCUGGAACACAACUUCAUCCAUUCAUUGACAUAUUACCUGUGGCUGCUUUCACAGUACAGUGUCAGAGUUGAAUAGUUAAGACAGACUGUAUGGCCCACAAAGCCUGAAAUAUUUACUAUCUGGCCCUUUACAGAAAACAUCUGCAGAUCUCUUCUAAAUAUACCUCAAGUCAUCCCCCUCCCCCCACUCAGCAUUCACAUCUAUGAUAAUUUUUUCAGUUUGUCAUGAAUCUCUUUUGCUCAUCUUUCUAACUCUCCUUAUUCAUUUAUUCAACAAUGAUUUGUUAAACACUGCUUUUUGCUAAGUACCUGUUCUUGCCAGACAUUGUGGGGAUAUAAAGGUAAAUAUAAUUCCUUGCUUUCAAGGAAUUUACAGUCUAAGAAGACAUUCAAGGCAGAAGGACAUAUAAUAAUAUCACAGGUUUGAAAGUCCUGGGAGGCACUAGAGAAGCACAGAAGAAAUGCUACAGGGUCCAGAUGUGGGAUAAUUCCCAACAGCUGGGAAUGUGACAUUUGAGCUUCAGAGAGGCAAAGGGAAUGUCAGCUGGAUAGAAAAACAACUACAGCCUGGGACAGUGUGUGUGUGUGUGUGUGUGUGUGUGUGUGUGUGUGGUGUUUGACAGUGUGACUGCUGUAGCGAUGAUUUAAGAAGUGGGGGAUCACAGAUGGAAGGAGGGAAAUGUAGAAGGGGGAGUGGAGGUGGAGGAGGAGGGUGGAGAAAGAAGAGACUGGGGUCAAGCUAAGACACUUGAAGAUGACAGGAUAUAAAAAAGAAAACCUCAGAGUUUCUGUUGUGGUACAGCGGAAAUAAACUUGACUAGUAUCCAUGAAGAUAUAGGUUCCACCCCUGGCCUCACUCAGUGGAUUGGGGAUCUGGCAUUGCCGUGAGGUCACAAACGCAACUUGGACCCAGUGUUGCUAUGGCUGUGGCAUAGGCUGGCAGCUGCAGCUCCAAUUGGACCCCCUUAGCCUGGGAAAUUCCACAUGCCACAGGUGCAGCCAUAAAAAGCAAAAAAAAAAAAAAAAAAAAAAAAAAAAAAAAAAAAAAAAAAAAGAAAGAAAGAAAGAAAGGAAAACCUCUCUAAACCUUUAAGAUUAGAAUCAUAAAUACUUUUAUUUCCUUUUGGCCAAAGGCAGAGAAGACAGUUUUUUAGUUCUUCUUCCAAACAAAAACUCCAUGCUUUCUAAAACUUCAGGAGAUGCCAAUUAGUUACCCAGGCGAAGCAAUUCUUUCUCAUGAAAGUCUUUGAGAUGAGCUGUUAUAUUCUAUAAGAAAUAAGAUUCGGAGUUCCCACUGUGGCACAAUGGGUUAAGAAUCUGAUGGCAGUGGUUCAGGUCUCUGCUGAGGCUCGGGUUUGAUCCCAGGCCUCAUGCAGUGGGUUAAAAGAUCUGGCAUUGUCACACCUGCCACUUGGAUUUGAUCCCUGGCCUGGGACCUUCCAUAUGCCAUGGGUGGGGGCAUUAAAAAAAAAAAAGAAGAAGAAAUAAGAUUAAACGUACGAAGUCUGAAUGUUUUCAGGAGGGCUUCUUAUAAACAUCCUAGCAAGAAUACUUUUGGGAUUACUACAUACAGAGCAGGAUGGUUACAAAUAUAAAUUUUUUCACAAGGGUCUACAUUCAGAAGAGCAAACAGGAUUUCAUUAGUGUAUUUUCAGUCUUCAUUUAUAGCUAACUAGUUGUUCCAAAUGACCUUACUCUUUGAAAUUCCUUCCUCUUUCUGCAUGAUUAUUCCCUCCCCUCCCUUUUAUCCAGGCUUCCUUCUAGUAAUCAGAAGGGCUUUCAAUAUCAAGGCUACAGAGAGGAUUUCUUAUAGUAAUCCUGAAAUGAAAAUAAUGGACCUAAAAAAAAUCUGACUCCAGUAGAUGCAUUAAGCUUUUACAAAUCUUACCCAUUCUUUAAAGCUCAGCUCACAAACCACCUCUCCCAGAGCAGUGCUUCUUAAACUUUAAAGUGUGUACAGUGGACUGAGUAUCUUGUGAAAGUGCAGAUUCCGAUCCACUAGAUCUGGAUUAGUGCCUGAGACUCUGAAUUUCUAACUAUGUCCCAGUCAAGCUGAUGCUGCUGGUCUGUGGAUACUAGCAAAGGUCUGGAUUAUUCCAGCCCCCAAUUCAUCAUCUUCUUCUAAACUCCAGUGGAUCUUACACUCUGUUCUCUAGUAUUUCAGUCUUGUAGUAUUUCCCAUUUCGUAAAGGUUAGUCUUAAGUUCCCAGAUCAUGAAGAAAAGAAUCUUAUCUGAUAAGCAUCUAUCCCCUCACCAUGCUAUGCAUGUUGCUAAGCAGAGUAGGCACUCCAAGCACAUUUUCAAAAUAGUGAACAAGUCAUUUGAGACAACUCAGCACACCCUCCAAUAAGAAAACCAGAGCCUUAGGCGGAAAUACCAGUUCAAGGCAUCAUCCUCACCACCACCCGGCAGUGGUGCUUGUGAGAGGGGGGCCUUGUUUCCAUACACAGAGCAGGUACAAGUUUGCAAGCCUUGUACUUGAAUGAGCAAGAAAUGGAGCCUGUUUGUCAAUCUAUAACUGAGUUUAAUCAUAACGUCAAGCUUUACCUGCUGCCUGAUUGCAGAAAAUACUGUCUCAACCGAAUUUAGGUAAACCCAGUACUUCCGGGUUUCUCUGCCCUUUUAGGAUUUCCCCUCCCCGCCCGUCUCCCCUUGUCAGCCUUCCCCGGUGGCAUUCAUUGCCACUGUCACCAUUGCCACGGGGCUUCCAUUGUCUGCGCCACCCUGCUUUCUCCUUGGCCCUCUAUGCUAGGGGUCCUUUUGUAGCCAUCUGAUAGCCCCCUUGUAAGCCUCAAGGACUUUUAAAUUCCGAAAGCGACACCGACUUCUGGUUUAAGCAGGGAAGCCUGUAGGUGAUUAGAUGAAAAUAUUAGCCAUGAACCUGCCACAUAGCACAGGAAAGGGGCAUCUUCCUUCCUUUUCAGGAGCAUCUCAUUAAGAGAAAAACAGAGUUCUCCAAAUAAACAUGAGCCUAGGUAAGUGAACCUACUUAACAGUUGGUGUGGUGUUUUAAAGGAGACUAAGUAAUGUAAGCAUGAAACUUGAGCUUCAGGGCCCCUCAUUUACACAGCCCCCUUCCAAGACCCUGUUCCCAAUUGGGUUCUUUUUCUCAAAAAGAGAAAAAGAGUUGUAUAAGCUUCAAUCUGCGCAAACUCUAGGUUUGGCCCUGGACUGAGUGUGAUGGUUGGUAGUGAUGACAUUGGUGAAGAAAGAACCGAGGGAAAGGGCGAGAGGGUGAAGGUCAGGGUGACAUGCCAGGUGGACUCAGGUCAGGAGGCUCUGUGUCCCCCUCAGAACCUGGUAUUUCUCUUCUCCACUGUGCAUGUCUGUGACCAGCACCAUUAUUAAUUCAGUCUAGCCUGAGAACCCCACAGUUACACAGGCUCCUCCCUUAGUCAGCAGUGAAGUAGAUUCCAUCUCAGCCAUGUUUUCAGCCCAUGUCUCCUCUCCAGUCCCCCCAUCAUCAUCAUAGCUCAGCUGCCAUCAUAUCUAAUCCUAAACCCAUCUGCCAGCCAUCUCCCGACUGCCUCCAGCCCCGCUCCUUCUAGGCACCAGGACCUGAUCUCCUCUGGUUCUGUUUCUCUGGAGAACCCUGACAAAUGCAGCACCUAAUAUACAUUUGUAAGAUGAGUAAAUCUGUAGUAAAGAAGAGAGAUCCUGUAUCUUUAGGAACAUCCCUGUGGGGCUCUGGGGGAUUUAGAAGGCUCUGACACACUGUACUUAAUUCCUUCUGGGGGAAAGAGCACAGAUCUGGAGACUGAUUCGGUGCGCAGGGAGGGCAAAUCCACACAAUCUCGGCAGAAGAAGAUUGUUGGAAGGGUAUAGAGACCUUCUCAGAAUCCAAGGGCAGGAACCAGAGUAGGGCCUCGCAGCAAACGGAUAUCACAGGGCAGUUUGUCUCACUUCUCCGGUCUGGAGCCACACAGUCACUCUUACUUCCUGCAUGCCUUUUCUGCUCUCCCAUGGAAGGCCACUUGUGCUGCAAACUUGGUUAACAAAUCCGACUAGGAACCACGAGGUUGCGGGUUCGAGCCCUGCCCUUGCUCAGUGGGUUGACGAUCCGGCGUUGCCGUGAGCUGUGGUGUAGGUUGCAGACAUGGCUCGGAUCCUGCGUUGCUGUGGCUCUGGUGUAGGCUGGCAGCUACAGCUCUGAUUAGACCCCUUGCCUGGGAACCUCCAUAUGCCACGGGAGCGGCCCAAAAA
RNAcentral lists this long non-coding RNA (6315 nucleotides) under Sus scrofa (pig). Its description in RNAcentral is "lncRNA (ENSSSCG00065010987.1)". The record is from RNAcentral. Lineage: Eukaryota; Metazoa; Chordata; Mammalia; Artiodactyla; Suidae.